Loxodonta africana (African savanna elephant) is the source of this 175-nucleotide long non-coding RNA. It matches the Rfam family "Smith-Magenis syndrome chromosome region, candidate 2 conserved region 2". The record is from Rfam. Lineage: Eukaryota; Metazoa; Chordata; Mammalia; Proboscidea; Elephantidae.
UGGGAGCUGCCUGGCCACACUUUGCCUUCUACUGAGUGAGCAAACCCUCAGCCCAGUUCCUUUCAGGGUGCAGGGUUUUCUCUCCAGUCUGAGAUCCUCUCCCCUUUCCCUGUCCUCCAGCCCACAGGGGUCUUCCCCCCGCCCCAACUCCCAAAGGUCAUUAUCUCAUUUAGAC